CCGCGGGAUUAGAGUUUGAUCCUGGCUCAGAAUCAACGCUGGCGGCGUGCCUCAGACAUGCAAGUCGAACGAUUAAACUUUCCUUCGGGAAAGAUAUAAAGUGGCGCACGGGUGAGUAACACGUAAGUAAUCUACCUUUGGAUGGGGAAUAACAGUCGGAAACGACUGCUAAUACCGCAUAAUGCAGCGGCACCUAAUGGUGACAGUUGUUAAAGUAUUUAUACGUCUGGAGAGGAGCUUGCGGCAGAUUAGCUAGUUGGUAAGGUAACGGCUUACCAAGGCUACGAUCUGUAUCCGACCUGAGAGGGUGGUCGGACACACUGACACUGAAUAACGGGUCAGACUCCUACGGGAGGCAGCAGUCGGGAAUUUUGGGCAAUGGGCGAAAGCCUGACCCAGCAACGCCGCGUGAAGGAUGAAGUCUUUCGGGAUGUAAACUUCGUAAGAAUAGGAAGAAUAAAUGACGGUACUAUUUGUAAGGUCCGGCUAACUACGUGCCAGCAGCCGCGGUAAUACGUAGGGACCAAGCGUUGUUCGGAUUUACUGGGCGUAAAGGGCGCGUAGGCGGCGUGACAAGUCAAUUGUGAAAUCUCCGGGCUUAACUCGGAACGGUCAAUUGAUACUGUUGUGCUAGAGUACAGAAGGGGCAAUCGGAAUUCUUGGUGUAGCGGUGAAAUGCGUAGAUAUCAAGAGGAACACCUGAGGUGAAGACGGGUUGCUGGGCUGAUACUGACGCUGAGGCGCGAAAGCUAGGGUAGCAAACGGGAUUAGAUACCCCGGUAGUCCUAGCCCUAAACGAUGAAUACUUGGUGUCUGGAGUUUUAAUUCUCUGGGUGCCGUCGCUAACGUUUUUAGUAUUCCGC
This 863-nucleotide ribosomal RNA is filed under the name uncultured bacterium. RNAcentral describes it as "bacterial SSU rRNA". It matches the Rfam family "Bacterial small subunit ribosomal RNA", at positions 1 to 872 of the family's 1533-position model. The record is from RNAcentral.